GUUUGAUGUAGAGGCGCGAUAUUUAUCAGUAGUUCAUAAGAGGGUGAUACCUAUGAUGAUGAAUGAAAGGGGAUAUCGCCGAAGUAGGUAUCGCUGGUAAAUAAUUCAGCUAAGCUUAUCAAGCUGCUUACUGGGGUUACGCCGAAUAGGUGUAACACUGCCAUAGUUUGUGCGAAUUUAUUUUUGAUGUUGUGGUUAAAUAUCAAACGAAUAGAUUGCGCAGUAUUUUUAUACUAUGGAGCGCUACUGUAGGC
RNAcentral lists this non-coding RNA (254 nucleotides) under Vibrio rumoiensis. RNAcentral's name for it is "Lysine sequence". It matches the Rfam family "Lysine riboswitch aptamer". From Rfam's summary of the family: Riboswitches are metabolite binding domains within certain messenger RNAs that serve as precision sensors for their corresponding targets. Allosteric rearrangement of mRNA structure is mediated by ligand binding, and this results in modulation of gene expression. RNAcentral also lists the same sequence under 1 other name. Lineage: Bacteria; Pseudomonadati; Pseudomonadota; Gammaproteobacteria; Vibrionales; Vibrionaceae. The record is from RNAcentral.